GACGAACGCUGGCGGCGUGCUUAACACAUGCAAGUCGAACGGAAAGGCCCUGCUUUUGUGGGGUGCUCGAGGGGCGAACGGGUGAGUAACACGUGAGUAACCUGCCCUUGACUUUGGGAUAACUUCAGGAAACUGGGGCUAAUACCGGAUAGGAGCUCCUGCUGCAUGGUGGGGGGUGGAAAGUUUCGGCGGUUGGGGAUGGACUCGCGGCUUAUCAGCUUGUUGGUGGGGUAGUGGCUUACCAAGGCUUUGACGGGUAGCCGGCCUGAGAGGGUGACCGGCCACCUUGGGACUGCGAUACGGCCCAGACUCCUACGGGAGGCAGCAGUGGGGAAUAUUGCACAAUGGGCGGAAGCCUGAUGCAGCAACGCCGCGUGCGGGAUGACGGCCUUCGGGUUGUAAACCGCUUUCGCCUGUGACGAAGCGUGAGUGACGGUAAUGGGUAAAGAAGCACCGGCUAACUACGUG
RNAcentral lists this ribosomal RNA (468 nucleotides) under uncultured bacterium. RNAcentral's name for it is "partial 16S ribosomal RNA". It matches the Rfam family "Bacterial small subunit ribosomal RNA", at positions 28 to 507 of the family's 1533-position model. The record is from RNAcentral.